UACGGAGAGUGCAAACGUUGUUCGGAUUCACUGGGCGUAAAGGGCGCGUAGGCGGCUUUCUAAGUCAGGGGUGAAAUCCGGCAGCUCAACUGUCGCAGUGCCUUUGAUACUGGAGAGCUCGAGGGAGGUAGGGGUCUGUGGAACUUCCGGUGGAGCGGUGAAAUGCGUUGAUAUCGGAAGGAACGCCGGUGGCGAAAGCGACGGACUGGAUCUCUUCUGACGCUGAGGCGCGAAAGCCAGGGGAGCAAACGGG
Molecule: ribosomal RNA, 253 nt
Filed under: uncultured bacterium
Lineage: Bacteria
Description: partial 16S ribosomal RNA
Rfam family: Bacterial small subunit ribosomal RNA
Source: RNAcentral